CUUCCUACGGGAGGCAGCAGCCGCGGUAAUACGUAGGGGGCAAGCGUUAUCCGGAUUUACUGGGUGUAAAGGGAGCGUAGACGGCACUGCAAGUCCGGAGUGAAAGCCCAAGGCUUAACCAUGGGACUGCUCUGGAAACUGUGGAGCUUGAGUGCGGGAGGGGCAGGCGGAAUUCCUAGUGUAGCGGUGAAAUGCGUAGAUAUUAGGAGGAACACCGGCGGCGAAGGCGGCCUGCUGGACCGUAACUGACGUUGAGGCUCGAAAGCGUGGGGAGCAAACAGGAUUAGAAACCCUUGUAGUCCAAA
RNAcentral lists this ribosomal RNA (305 nucleotides) under uncultured bacterium. RNAcentral describes it as "bacterial SSU rRNA". It matches the Rfam family "Bacterial small subunit ribosomal RNA", at positions 497 to 799 of the family's 1533-position model. The record is from RNAcentral.